CGGUGGAGGUAUGUGGUUUAAUUCGAUGCAACGCGAAGAACCUUACCUGGUCUUGACAUCCCGGAGACCCUUAGGAAACUAGGGGGUGCUUCCAUCUGGAAGAAUCUGGAGACAGGUGCUGCAUGGCUGUCGUCAGCUCGUGUCGUGAGAUGUUGGGUUAAGUCCCGCAACGAGCGCAACCCUUGCCUUUAGUUGCCAGCAGUUCGGCUGGGCACUCUAAAGGGACUGCCGGUGUUAAACCGGAGGAAGGUGGGGAUGACGUCAAGUCCUCAUGGCCUUUAUGACCAGGGCUACACACGUACUACAAUGGCCGAUACAAAGGGCAGCGACACUGCGAGGUGAAGCCAAUCCCGUAAAAUCGGUCUCAGUCCGGAUUGGAGUCUGCAACUCGACUCCAUGAAGUUGGAAUCGCUAGUAAUCGUGGAUCAGCAUGCCACGGUGAAUACGUUCCCGGGCCUU
Molecule: ribosomal RNA, 459 nt
Filed under: uncultured Desulfobulbus sp.
Lineage: Bacteria; Pseudomonadati; Thermodesulfobacteriota; Desulfobulbia; Desulfobulbales; Desulfobulbaceae
Description: bacterial SSU rRNA
Rfam family: Bacterial small subunit ribosomal RNA
Source: RNAcentral